This 623-nucleotide ribosomal RNA is filed under the name fungal sp. APA-2013. Its description in RNAcentral is "eukaryotic LSU rRNA". The stretch from base 245 to 397 matches the Rfam family "5.8S ribosomal RNA". Lineage: Eukaryota; Fungi. The record is from RNAcentral.
UCUUGGUCAUUUAGAGGAAGUAAAAGUCGUAACAAGGUUUCCGUAGGUGAACCUGCGGAAGGAUCAUUACCGAGUGAGGGCCCUUUGGGUCCAACCUCCCACCCGUGUUUAUUUACCUUGUUGCUUCGGCGGGCCCGCCUUAACUGGCCGCCGGGGGGCUUACGCCCCCGGGCCCGCGCCCGCCGAAGACACCCUCGAACUCUGUCUGAAGAUUGUAGUCUGAGUGAAAAUAUAAAUUAUUUAAAACUUUCAACAACGGAUCUCUUGGUUCCGGCAUCGAUGAAGAACGCAGCGAAAUGCGAUACGUAAUGUGAAUUGCAAAUUCAGUGAAUCAUCGAGUCUUUGAACGCACAUUGCGCCCCCUGGUAUUCCGGGGGGCAUGCCUGUCCGAGCGUCAUUGCUGCCCUCAAGCCCGGCUUGUGUGUUGGGCCCCGUCCUCCGAUUCCGGGGGACGGGCCCGAAAGGCAGCGGCGGCACCGCGUCCGGUCCUCGAGCGUAUGGGGCUUUGUCACCCGCUCUGUAGGCCCGGCCGGCGCUUGCCGAUCAACCCAAAUUUUUAUCCAGGUUGACCUCGGAUCAGGUAGGGAUACCCGCUGAACUUAAGCAUAUCAAUAAGCGGAGGA